Molecule: ribosomal RNA, 429 nt
Filed under: Triticum aestivum (bread wheat)
Lineage: Eukaryota; Viridiplantae; Streptophyta; Magnoliopsida; Poales; Poaceae
Description: partial small subunit ribosomal RNA
Source: RNAcentral
GCAUUAGCUCAUUCGGCGCAGCCGCCGACGGGGAUGCUCUCGUUGGUACCGUGCCCUUGCUGCAAAAUCUGGUCAACCAUCUGCCUAGUUUCUAAGUCGGAAGCAAAUCCCGGAAGGGUUUUCUACAAAUGCCCCAAUCAUCGUGUAAGAUUCUUGUUUAUCCUUUGUUGGACCAAAUCCUUGCCAACAUACAUGGAUUUCUUUGUCAGUAAUGGGCACACUACCCCUACAAUUGGUAGUGCAUAUUCAACUAUUGUGAAUGCUAACGAAGAAACCAAUGGGAAAGAAGAGUGUGGAGUAAUGAAUCAUAACAACACUGGUUGUGUGAUGAUGGCAGAUGUAUUGAAGAAGAUGGAAGAGCUGGUAUUUCUCUGUAGGAUUAUUUUCAUUGCACUUGUGAUCGGGAUUGCAAUCAUGGUGUUUGUAGUU